UGGGAUAUGUUGUCUUUUAAUGAGCCGUUU
This 30-nucleotide non-coding RNA is filed under the name Mus musculus (house mouse). Lineage: Eukaryota; Metazoa; Chordata; Mammalia; Rodentia; Muridae. The record is from RNAcentral.